RNAcentral lists this ribosomal RNA (250 nucleotides) under uncultured bacterium. RNAcentral's name for it is "partial 16S ribosomal RNA". It matches the Rfam family "Bacterial small subunit ribosomal RNA", at positions 524 to 773 of the family's 1533-position model. The record is from RNAcentral.
UACAGAGGGUGCAAGCGUUAAUCGGAGUUACUGGGCGUAAAGGGCGCGUAGGCGGUUCGAUAAGUCGGGUGUGAAAGCCCCGGGCUUAACCUGGGAAUUGCAUUCGAGACUGUCGAGCUAGAGUAUGGUAGAGGAAAGCGGAAUUCCACAUGUAGCGGUGAAAUGCGUAGAUAUGUGGAGGAACAUCAGUGGCGAAGGCGGCUUUCUGGACCAAUACUGACGCUGAGGCGCGAAAGCGUGGGGAGCAAAC